CAAAGGUGAGCCAGUACAGGAUGGACCCGCGUCUGAUUAGCUAGUUGGUAAGGUAACGGCUUACCAAGGCGACGAUCAGUAGCCGACCUGAGAGGGUGAUCGGCCACAUUGGAACUGAGACACGGUCCAAACUCCUACGGGAGGCAGCAGUGGGGAAUAUUGCACAAUGGGCGAAAGCCUGAUGCAGCAACGCCGCGUGAGUGAUGAAGGCCUUCGGGUCGUAAAACUCUGUCCUCAAGGAAGAUAAUGACGGUACUUGAGGAGGAAGCCCCGGCUAACUACGUGCCAGCAGCCGCGGUAAUACGUAGGGGGCUAGCGUUAUCCGGAUUUACUGGGCGUAAAGGGUGCGUAGGCGGUCUUUCAAGUCAGGAGUGAAAGGCUACGGCUCAACCGUAGUAAGCUCUUGAAACUGGGAGACUUGAGUGCAGGAGAGGAGAGUGGAAUUCCUAGUGUAGCGGUGAAAUGCGUAGAUAUUAGGAGGAACACCAGUUGCAAAGGCGGCUCUCUGGACUGUAACUGACGCUGAGGCACGAAAGCGUGGGGAGCAAACAGGAUUAGAUACCCUGGUAGUCCACGCUGUAAACGAUGAGUACUAGGUGUCGGGGGUUACCCC
Molecule: ribosomal RNA, 613 nt
Filed under: uncultured bacterium
Lineage: Bacteria
Description: bacterial SSU rRNA
Rfam family: Bacterial small subunit ribosomal RNA
Source: RNAcentral